Molecule: long non-coding RNA, 219 nt
Organism: Ceratitis capitata (Mediterranean fruit fly)
Lineage: Eukaryota; Metazoa; Arthropoda; Insecta; Diptera; Tephritidae
Exons: 2
Source: RefSeq, a predicted model, not a curated record
CGUUUGGCAUAGCUUAGAGCACUCAGAUGAUAAGUCGUUUCGGUCAGUUGCAGCGAAGACACUAUCAUUGGCGUUUUAACUGUGAACGGUAGCUCCUCGACUCGUCGCUUAGUACGGAUUGAAUAUAUGUACAUUGUACAACAAAAAGCAGUGUGGCAACAUCAUUGAUAUUCAAAAUUAAGGAAUUACAAUAGCCAACUCGCAGUAUAAAACCGUAAA